Non-coding RNA from Camellia sinensis, 2538 nucleotides. NCBI's taxonomy places the organism in Eukaryota, Viridiplantae, Streptophyta, Magnoliopsida, Ericales, Theaceae. The record is from RefSeq and is a predicted model, not a curated record.
CUCCAUUUUUAUUACUGAAGAUACGUGAGUGGGAGAUAGAGUUGGAAAAAGAUAGAAAAAGAGAAUGAAAGCAAUAUAGUGGCUGGAGGAGGAAAGAAAGAAGAAGAGGAAAAAAGUGACGGUGGUGAACAGAACAGCACAAAGCAUGGCAGUUGUAUGGCAUAAAUGGUUAAGGAAGAGCAUCCUAUCACCAUUUAGCUCAAGGGCAUUCAGUACCUUGAAGAGUAACCCCAGUCAACAAAUCAUAAAGUCUCCUCCUCUUCUUUCCCAUGACGUACCUGAUGUAUGGACUUCAAACUCCAUGCAUUGUGAUCCUCCAUCUAUAGGAGAAUGCUACAAUGAACGAAGAGCGAGAGUAAUUGAUGGGAAGUCGAUGGCUGCAAAAAUUAUAGCAGGAAUAGGUGGUGAAGUAAUCAGAAUGCAGGAGUCCAUUGGGAAAGUGCCUGGCCUGGCUGUAAUUUUGGUGGGUGAAAGAAAGGACUCUGAAACCUAUGUCCGUAACAAAAGAAAAGCUUGCGAAGAAGCUGGAAUCAACUUUGUGAUGACCAAACUGCUCAAUAAUUGUACAGAAGAUGAAGUUUGUGAGGCUUUGUUGAGGUAUAACGAGAAUCCCUCAGUUCAUGGUAUUCUCGUGCAGCUUCCUCUGCCACAUCAUUUGGACGAGGAGAAGAUUCUCAAUGUGUUGAACCUGGAAAAGGAUGUGGAUGGCUUUCAUCCAGUACACAUGGGGAAUCUAGCCAUGAGCGGAAGGGAGCCAUUGUUUAUUCCCUGCACUCCAAAAGGUUGCAUUGAGUUAUUGGUAAGGUCUGAUGUGGAAAUCAUGGGUAAGAAUGCUGUGGUGAUUGGGAGGAGUAACAUUGUAGGAUUGCCUGCAUCUUUGCUCUUGCAGAGGCACCAUGCGACGGUGAGCACUGUGCAUGCAUUCACAAAGAACCCAGAACACAUCACCUCCGAAGCUGACAUCGUGGUCACAGCAGCAGGAGUACCCAAUCUAGUCCGUGGCAAUUGGCUUAAGCCUGGUGCAGUUGUUAUUGACGUCGGAACCUAUCCUAUCGAGGAUCCCAGUUUCGAGCAAGGUUAUCGUCUUUUGGGAGAUGUUUGUUAUGAAGAAGCAGUAAUGGUAGCAUCGGCAAUCACCCCUGUGCCUGGAGGAGUGGGACCUAUGACAAUUGCUAUGCUCCUCUCCAACACUCUAGACUCCGCCAAGCGUGCCUACAACUUUGGUUGACACAUACUAGGUUCAGUAAUUUGGGAGUGAAGAUGACGACUCGAAUGGUGUUCGAUUGUGACAUUGUUUGGAGUAUAACUAGGUGAAAUCAGUCGUUUUCGAGGUAUAGGAUUGCAUAAUUAAGGUCUAUUCCCUGUUGCAUUUGCGAUUGUUGAUUAAGUGGUUCUUACACGAACUUGGGAAGGUUAUUGAUGGUAAGCGUCAGAUUACUUUUAUUUCUGAUCGUAAUCUUAGUCUAUUAGAAGCGAUGCCGAAGGUGUUCCCAUCAGUUCACCACGGUUAUUACUUACAACACUUGAAGAACAAUUUAAGAGACCGGAUGAAGGGAAUUGAUAAUGGAUUUAGGGACUACCUGGUUAGUAGUUUGGGUGACUGUGCUUACGAGCUAACUAUGGUGGGGUUCCAUGAAAAGCUUAAGAAAUUAAAAGAGGAGGAUAAACAACGAGCACAUAGUUUUUUCAAAGAGUUGGCACCUGAGCAUUGGGUAAAUUCAUACUUCAGGGGCAUGCGUUAUGGGGAGAUGACAUCUAAUGUGGUGGAGUCAUUUAAUAAUUGGAUUAAAAAAGCACGUAAUCUUCCUAUUACUCGAUUGGUGGACACAAUUCGUACUCAAUUGAUGCGACAACUGUUGGCGUGGCAUGACCAAGCAAACAAGUGGAAGGAAACAAUUUGUCCUACAUUUGAAACCUUGCUUCUUGAUACAUUCAACGACAACAGUUCUUGGCAAGUUAGCAAAGCCAGUGAAGAUGUAUUUGAGGUUCAUUCAAUACCAUCUGUUAUAGUUGGAAUUGGAAGGCGUACGUGUUCUUGUUUCCAAUGGCAGAUCAACGGAUUCUCAUGUGACCAUGCUAUUAUUGCUAUUCAGAAGAGCCGAUACAAUCUCAAUGAUUGUAUGGAACAUUACUUUCAUGUAGAGACGUAUCGUGUAGCAUAUUCGGUUACCAUAUUUUCCAUAUCGUCAAUGGAAAAGCCGCCUUUUCGAUCCCACAGACUUUACCAUAUAUCCACUAACUAUGAAAAGACCACUCGGCAGGUUGAAGAAGAAUAGAAUCCUAUCAAGGGGUGAGAAGCUGAAACAAAUAAGGUGAGGGAGAUGUGAUAAGUUGGGAAGUCACAAUCGAAAAUCAUGCAAAGAGCCGAUAUAGGGUGUAUAAUUUUCAUUUUAAUGUUGCGUUUUACGUGAGAUUCUUUUAUUGACGUUUGAAAUAAGAUUGCGUUGUGUUGGCAAACAUUGUGUUAAAAUAAGAUUACGUUGUGUUGGCAAACCUAAUAAUGCAUUGGCAAACAUAGUAUUUGAUUUGUGUUGUCUA